Molecule: ribosomal RNA, 253 nt
Filed under: uncultured bacterium
Lineage: Bacteria
Description: partial 16S ribosomal RNA
Rfam family: Bacterial small subunit ribosomal RNA
Source: RNAcentral
UACGUAGGGCGCAAGCGUUGUCCGGAAUUAUUGGGCGUAAAGAGCUCGUAGGCGGCCUGUUGCGUCCGCUGUGAAAUCCCGGGGCUCAACCCCGGGCCUGCAGUGGAUACGGGCUGGCUAGAGGCAGGCAGGGGAGAACGGAAUUCCCAGUGUAGAGGUGAAAUUCGUAGAUAUUGGGAAGAACACCGGUGGCGAAGGCGGCGACCUGGUCCUUGACUGACGCUGAGGCGCGAAAGCGUGGGGAGCAAACAGG